AAGACUUGUGAAAUAUUAAUUCACAUCCUUUGAAUGCAACUCAACCACUUUAAUUAAGCUAAAAUCUU
Molecule: transfer RNA, 68 nt
Filed under: Anolis roquet
Lineage: Eukaryota; Metazoa; Chordata; Lepidosauria; Squamata; Anolidae
Description: tRNA-Ala
Source: RNAcentral